ACGUAGGCAGCGAGCGUUGUUCGGAAUUACUGGGCGUAAAGAGUGUGUAGGCGGUGUUCCCAGUCUGUUGUGAAAUCUCCCGGCUUAACUGGGAGGGUGCAGCGGAAACUAGAAUGCUAGAGGGUGGGAGAGGUAAGCGGAAUUCCUGGUGUAGCGGUGAAAUGCGUAGAUAUCAGGAGGAACACCUGUGGUGUAGACAGCUUACUGGACCACUUCUGACGCUGAGACACGAAAGCGUGGGUAGCAAACAGGA
This 253-nucleotide ribosomal RNA is filed under the name uncultured prokaryote. RNAcentral describes it as "partial 16S ribosomal RNA". It matches the Rfam family "Bacterial small subunit ribosomal RNA", at positions 525 to 777 of the family's 1533-position model. The record is from RNAcentral.